AUUGAACGCUGGCGGCAUGCUUUACACAUGCAAGUCGAACGGUAACAGGCCUUCGGGUGCUGACGAGUGGCGAACGGGUGAGUAAUGCAUCGGAACGUGCCCAGAGGUGGGGGAUAACGCAGCGAAAGCUGUGCUAAUACCGCAUGUGAUCUGAGGAUGAAAGCGGGGGACCAGGCAGCAAUGUUUGGCCUCGCGCCUUUGGAGCGGCCGAUGUCAGAUUAGGUAGUUGGUGGGGUAAAGGCCUACCAAGCCGACGAUCUGUAGCUGGUCUGAGAGGACGACCAGCCACACUGGGACUGAGACACGGCCCAGACUCCUACGGGAGGUAGCAGUGGGGAAUUUUGGACAAUGGGCGCAAGCCUGAUCCAGCAAUGCCGCGUGCGGGAAGAAGGCCUUCGGGUUGUAAACCGCUUUUGUACGGAACGAAAAGGCUCUGGCUAAUACCUGGGGCUGAUGACGGUACCGUAAGAAUAAGCACCGGCUAACUACGUG
Molecule: ribosomal RNA, 492 nt
Filed under: uncultured bacterium
Lineage: Bacteria
Description: partial 16S ribosomal RNA
Rfam family: Bacterial small subunit ribosomal RNA
Source: RNAcentral